UGGGGGAUAUUGCACAAUGGGCGCAAGCCUGAUGCAGCGACGCCGCGUGGGGGAUGAAGGCCUUCGGGUUGUAAACUUCUUUUGCUCUGAACAAGGCGCACUUUGGGGUGUGUUGAGUGUAGGGGUUGAUUAGCGCCGGCUAACUACGUGCCAGCAGCCGCGGUAAUACGUAGGGCGCGAGCGUUGUCCGGAAUUAUUGGGCGUAAAGGGCUUGUAGGUGGCUGGUUGCGUCUGUCGUGAAAGCUCAUGGCUUAACUGUGGGUUUGCGGUGGGUACGGGCUGGCUGGAGUGCAGUAGGGGAGGCUGGAAUUCCUGGUGUAGCGGUGGAAUGCGCAGAUAUCAGGAGGAAUACCGGUGGCGAAGGCGGGUCUCUGGGCUGUUACUGACACUGAGGAGCGAAAGCAUGGGGAGCGAACAGG
Molecule: ribosomal RNA, 419 nt
Filed under: bacterium
Lineage: Bacteria
Description: partial 16S ribosomal RNA
Rfam family: Bacterial small subunit ribosomal RNA
Source: RNAcentral